This 505-nucleotide ribosomal RNA is filed under the name uncultured bacterium. RNAcentral's name for it is "partial 16S ribosomal RNA". It matches the Rfam family "Bacterial small subunit ribosomal RNA", at positions 28 to 507 of the family's 1533-position model. The record is from RNAcentral.
GACGAACGCUGGCGGCGUGCCUAAUACAUGCAAGUAGAACGCACAGUUUAUACCGUAGCUUGCUACACCAUAGACUGUGAGUUGCGAACGGGUGAGUAACGCGUAGGUAACCUGCCUGGUAGCGGGGGAUAACUAUUGGAAACGAUAGCUAAUACCGCAUAAUAUUAAUUAUUGCAUGAUAAUUAAUUGAAAGGUGCAAUUGCACCACUACCAGAUGGACCUGCGUUGUAUUAGCUAGUAGGUGAGGUAACGGCUCACCUAGGCGACGAUACAUAGCCGACCAGAGAGGGGGAUGGGAAAGACUGGGACUGAGACACGCACAAGACACAAACGGGAGGAAGCAGAAGGGAAUCUGCGGCAAUGGACGAAAGUAGGAAAGAGCAACGCGGCGGGAGUGAAGAAGGUUGUGGGAUCGUAAAGCUCUGUUGUAAGAGAAGAACGGGGGAGAGAGUGGAAAGUUCACACUGUGACGGUAGCUUACCAGAAAGGGACGGCUAACUACGUG